This 305-nucleotide ribosomal RNA is filed under the name uncultured soil bacterium. RNAcentral's name for it is "bacterial SSU rRNA". It matches the Rfam family "Bacterial small subunit ribosomal RNA", at positions 26 to 337 of the family's 1533-position model. The record is from RNAcentral.
AGAUUGAACGCUGGCGGCAGGCCUAACACAUGCAAGUCGAGCGCGAAAGGUUUUCGGACUGAGUAGAGCGGCGGACGGGUGAGUAACGCGUGGGAAUCUGCCUGGUAGUGGGGGACAACGUUCCGAAGGGAACGCUAAUACCGCAUACGCCCUACGGGGGGAAAGGGGGGAUCUUCGGACCUCUCGCUAUCAGAUGAGCCCGCGUCGGAUUAGCUAGUUGGUAGGGUAAAGCCUACCAAGGCGACGAUCCGUAACUGGUCUGAGAGGAUGAUCAGUCACACUGGAACUGAGACACGGUCCAGACU